GAGGCAAACACCCCAAAACAAAGAUGUAUCUUAAUCUGAUGAGAGGAAGUUUGUUGGCUCGUGCUCCCUCGCUAUUUCGCCCUCGUGCUCUAUUAUGCACACAAAGCACAGGAAGCAAAUGGCAGCAGCAAGUGCAAAGGCAAGAUGAGGUUAAGGGUGUUCAAGAUGAGAUUUCUGGAUGGCAGCAGCAAGUGCAACAGCAAGA
RNAcentral lists this unclassified non-coding RNA (205 nucleotides) under Hevea brasiliensis (rubber tree). The record is from RNAcentral. Lineage: Eukaryota; Viridiplantae; Streptophyta; Magnoliopsida; Malpighiales; Euphorbiaceae.